Gadus morhua (Atlantic cod) is the source of this 55-nucleotide microRNA precursor. Ensembl annotates it as gmo-mir-190a-1. Its record names the gene gmo-mir-190a-1. Lineage: Eukaryota; Metazoa; Chordata; Actinopteri; Gadiformes; Gadidae. The record is from Ensembl.
AUGUUUGAUAUAUUAGGUUGUUUUUCCACUCCAACUAUAUAUCAAACAUAUUCCU